This 96-nucleotide transfer RNA is filed under the name Acaryochloris sp. CCMEE 5410. Its description in RNAcentral is "tRNA-Gly". It matches the Rfam family "tRNA". From Rfam's summary of the family: Transfer RNA (tRNA) molecules are approximately 80 nucleotides in length. Their secondary structure includes four short double-helical elements and three loops (D, anti-codon, and T loops). Further hydrogen bonds mediate the characteristic L-shaped molecular structure. tRNAs have two regions of fundamental functional importance: the anti-codon, which is responsible for specific mRNA codon recognition, and the 3' end, to which the tRNAs corresponding amino acid is attached (by aminoacyl-tRNA synthetases). tRNAs cope with the degeneracy of the genetic code in two manners: having more than one tRNA (with a specific anti-codon) for a particular amino acid; and 'wobble' base-pairing, i.e. permitting non-standard base-pairing at the 3rd anti-codon position. The record is from RNAcentral. Lineage: Bacteria; Bacillati; Cyanobacteriota; Cyanophyceae; Acaryochloridales; Acaryochloridaceae.
GCGGAUAUGGUGCAAUGGCUAGCAUGAGAGGCUUCCAACCUCUUGAUACGAGUUUCUCCUGCGGAGACGCUCAGCGAACGACUCUCGUUAUCCGCU